AGAGUUUGAUCCUGGCUCAGAACGAACGCUGGCGGCAGGCCUAACACAUGCAAGUCGAACGUGAAGCUGGAGCUUGCUCCAGUGGAAAGUGGCAGACGGGUGAGUAACGCGUGGGAAUUUACCCAGUGGUUCGGAAUAACUUCGGGAAACCGGAGCUAAUACCGAAUACGCCCUCCGGGGGAAAGAUUUAUCGCCAUUGGAUGAGCCCGCGUCGGAUUAGCUAGUUGGUGGGGUAAAAGCCUACCAAGGCGACGAUCCGUAGCUGGUCUGAGAGGAUGAUCAGCCACACUGGGACUGAGACACGGCCCAGACUCCUACGGGAGGCAGCAGUGGGGAAUAUUGCACAAUGGGCGCAAGCCUGAUGCAGCCAUGCCGCGUGAGUGAAGAAGGCCUUAGGGUUGUAAAACUCUUUCACCGGUGAAGAUAAUGACGGUAGCCGGAGAAGAAGCCCCGGCCAACUCCGUGCCAGCAGCCGCGGUAAUACGGAGGGGGCUAGCGUUGUUCGGAAUUACUUCGCGUAAAGCGCGCGUAGGCGGGCUGGUCAGUUGGGGGUGAAAUCCCGGGGCUUAACCUCGGAACUGCCCUCAAUACUACCA
RNAcentral lists this ribosomal RNA (596 nucleotides) under uncultured Alphaproteobacteria bacterium. Its description in RNAcentral is "bacterial SSU rRNA". It matches the Rfam family "Bacterial small subunit ribosomal RNA", at positions 8 to 638 of the family's 1533-position model. The record is from RNAcentral. Lineage: Bacteria; Pseudomonadati; Pseudomonadota; Alphaproteobacteria.